GAUGAACGCUGGCGGCGUGCUUAACACAUGCAAGUCGAACGAGAAGUGAAGACGGAACCCUUCGGGCGGAAGGCUUUAUUUCGAGUGGCGGACGGGUGAGUAACGCGUGGGUAACCUGCCUCAUACAGGGGGAUAACAGUUGGAAACGACUGUUAAUACCGCAUAAGACCACAGCACCGCAUGGUGCGGGGGUAAAAACUCCGGUGGUAUGAGAUGGACCCGCGUUCGAUUAGCCAGUUGGCGGGGUAACGGCCCACCAAAGCGACGAUCGAUAGCCGAUCUGAGAGGAUGACCGGCCACAUUGGGACUGAGACACGGCCCAAACUCCUACGGGAAGCAGCAGUGGGGAAUAUUGCACAAUGGGGGAAACCCUGAUGCAGCGACGCCGCGUGAGUGAAGAAGUAUUUCGGUAUGUAAAGCUCUAUCAGCAGGGAAGAAAAUGACGGUACCUGAGUAAGAAGCCCCGGCUAACUACGUG
RNAcentral lists this ribosomal RNA (478 nucleotides) under uncultured bacterium. RNAcentral describes it as "partial 16S ribosomal RNA". It matches the Rfam family "Bacterial small subunit ribosomal RNA", at positions 28 to 507 of the family's 1533-position model. The record is from RNAcentral.